GGUAACCUGCCCAUCAGAAGGGGAUAACACUUGGAAACAGGUGCUAAUACCGUAUAACACUAUUUUCCGCAUGGAAGAAAGUUGAAAGGCGCUUUUGCGUCACUGAUGGAUGGACCCGCGGUGCAUUAGCUAGUUGGUGAGGUAACGGCUCACCAAGGCCACGAUGCAUAGCCGACCUGAGAGGGCGAUCGGCCACACUGGGACUGAGACACGGCCCAGACUCCUACGGGAGGCAGCAGUAGGGAAUCUUCGGCAAUGGACGAAAGUCUGACCGAGCAACGCCGCGUGAGUGAAGAAGGUUUUCGGAUCGUAAAACUCUGUUGUUAGAGAAGAACAAGGAUGAGAGUAGAACGUUCAUCCCUUGACGGUAUCUAACCAGAAAGCCACGGCUAACUACGUGCCAGCAGCCGCGGUAAUACGUAGGUGGCAAGCGUUGUCCGGAUUUAUUGGGCGUAAAGCGAGCGCAGGCGGUUUCUUAAGUCUGAUGUGAAAGCCCCCGGCUCAACCGGGGAGGGUCAUUGGAAACUGGGAGACUUGAGUGCAGAAGAGGAGAGUGGAAUUCCAUGUGUAGCGGUGAAAUGCGUAGAUAUAUGGAGGAACACCAGUGGCGAAGGCGGCUCUCUGGUCUGUAACUGACGCUGAGGCUCGAAAGCGUGGGGAGCGAACAGGAUUAGAUACCCUGGUAGUCCACGCCGUAAAC
RNAcentral lists this ribosomal RNA (700 nucleotides) under uncultured bacterium. Its description in RNAcentral is "bacterial SSU rRNA". It matches the Rfam family "Bacterial small subunit ribosomal RNA", at positions 120 to 807 of the family's 1533-position model. The record is from RNAcentral.